Molecule: ribosomal RNA, 215 nt
Filed under: Vibrio cholerae
Lineage: Bacteria; Pseudomonadati; Pseudomonadota; Gammaproteobacteria; Vibrionales; Vibrionaceae
Description: partial 23S ribosomal RNA
Rfam family: Bacterial large subunit ribosomal RNA
Source: RNAcentral
UACAUGUGUAGGAUAGGUGGGAGGCUAUGAAGACGUGACGCCAGUUGCGUUGGAGCCGUCCUUGAAAUACCACCCUUGUAUGUUUGAUGUUCUAACUUAGACCCGUUAUCCGGGUUGAGGACAGUGCCUGGUGGGUAGUUUGACUGGGGCGGUCUCCUCCCAAAGAGUAACGGAGGAGCACGAAGGUGGGCUAAUCACGGUUGGACAUCGUGAGG